RNAcentral lists this ribosomal RNA (640 nucleotides) under Brevibacterium sp. RNAcentral describes it as "bacterial SSU rRNA". It matches the Rfam family "Bacterial small subunit ribosomal RNA", at positions 70 to 722 of the family's 1533-position model. The record is from RNAcentral. Lineage: Bacteria; Bacillati; Actinomycetota; Actinomycetes; Micrococcales; Brevibacteriaceae.
AGCCUGGUGCUUGCACCGGGUGGAUGAGUGGCGAACGGGUGAGUAACACGUGAGUAACCUGCCCCUGACUUCGGGAUAAGCCCGGGAAACUGGGUCUAAUACCGGAUACGACUGCCGGACGCAUGUCUGGUGGUGGAAAGUUUUUUCGGUUGGGGAUGGGCUCGCGGCCUAUCAGUUUGUUGGUGAGGUAAUGGCUCACCAAGACGACGACGGGUAGCCGGCCUGAGAGGGCGACCGGCCACACUGGGACUGAGACACGGCCCAGACUCCUACGGGAGGCAGCAGUGGGGAAUAUUGCACAAUGGGGGAAACCCUGAUGCAGCGACGCAGCGUGCGGGAUGACGGCCUUCGGGUUGUAAACCGCUUUCAGCAGGGAAGAAGCGCCAGUGACCGUACCUGCGUAAAAAGUACCGGCUAACUACAUGCCCCCAGCCGCGGUAAUACGUAGGGGACAAGCGUUGUCCGGAAUUAUUGGGCGUAAAGAGCUCUCAUGUGGUUGGUCACGUCUGCUGUGGAAACGCAACGCUUAACGUUGCGCGUGCGCUGCGUACGGGCUGACUAGAGUGCACUAGGGGAGUCUGGAAUUCCUGGUGUAUCGGUGAAAUGCGCACAUAUCUCGAGGAACACCGGUGGCGAAAGC